This 433-nucleotide ribosomal RNA is filed under the name uncultured bacterium. RNAcentral's name for it is "partial 16S ribosomal RNA". It matches the Rfam family "Bacterial small subunit ribosomal RNA", at positions 29 to 507 of the family's 1533-position model. The record is from RNAcentral.
AACGAACGCUGGCGGCAUGCCUAACACAUGCAAGUCGAACGAGGCCUUCGGGGCUAGUGGCGCACGGGUGCGUAACGCGUGGGAACCUGCCCUUAGGUUCGGAAUAACUCCCCGAAAGGGGUGCUAAUACCGGGUAAUGUCUUCGGACCAAAGAUUUAUCGCCUUUGGAUGGGCCCGCGUUGGAUUAGCUAGUUGGUAGGGUAAAAGCCUACCAAGGCGACGAUCCAUAGCUGGUCUGAGAGGAUGAUCAGCCACACUGGGACUGAGACACGGCCCAGACUCCUACGGGAGGCAGCAGUGGGGACUGUUGGACAAUGGGCGAGAGCCUGAUCCAGCAAUGCCGCGUGAGUGAUGAAGGCCUUAGGGUUGUAAAGCUCUUUUACCCGGGAUGAUAAUGACAGUACCGGGAGAAUAAGCUCCGGCUAACUCCGUG